This 102-nucleotide transfer RNA is filed under the name Nemania serpens. RNAcentral describes it as "tRNA-Ile". It matches the Rfam family "tRNA". From Rfam's summary of the family: Transfer RNA (tRNA) molecules are approximately 80 nucleotides in length. The record is from RNAcentral. Lineage: Eukaryota; Fungi; Ascomycota; Sordariomycetes; Xylariales; Xylariaceae.
GGUCCUAUAACUCAGUUGGUUAGAGUGUCGUACUAAUAUUAUGAAGUCUUUCUGUAACAUUAGUAAAUGCGAAAGUCGUGAGUUCAACCCUCACUGGGACCA